This is a long non-coding RNA of Panicum virgatum (switchgrass), 491 nucleotides long. RefSeq lists it as uncharacterized. The transcript has 3 exons. Lineage: Eukaryota; Viridiplantae; Streptophyta; Magnoliopsida; Poales; Poaceae. The record is from RefSeq and is a predicted model, not a curated record.
AAGUUCAGGAGUGCCAUCAUUCAGUGUUCCGUUCCGUCUUGAGACACCAUGGCAAAUUAAGGUGACAAAUUGUUGGUCUUUGGUGGUGACAUUGUUUCUGAAGAUUAAGAUGCAGGGGUUCUCUUGGUGGGCAUGAGGCGUGCUGGCAAUUGUCCGCAAAGGCCCAUGACUGAAUCAAGGCUGUAAACGACAUCAAUUGGCAUGAUAAUUUGUAGAGAUGCAUGACACUAACAUAAUCUAUCUGUAUAGGAGCGAAUCUGUGGAGAGGAGUUGUGGAGCUCAUUGGAUAUCACACAUCUUGUGUUUUCCAUUUGAUAAAAGAUUGUAGCUUUCUUUUUCCUAUUAAAACAAAAAGGCCUUGUUCUGUGAUUAUUUGUGUUUAUAUGUGUCUGUUGGUUGAUGAUUUAAAUCCAUUGACCAAGUUCUUGUAAACUGGCAUGCAAAUAUACUGACAUUUCAAUUGUGUUUAAUAAGUUGAUAUUGCAACAGUA